This is a long non-coding RNA of Rhododendron vialii, 1965 nucleotides long. RefSeq lists it as uncharacterized. The record is from RefSeq and is a predicted model, not a curated record. NCBI's taxonomy places the organism in Eukaryota, Viridiplantae, Streptophyta, Magnoliopsida, Ericales, Ericaceae. The transcript is spliced from 4 exons.
CUCUUAUCGACCCACAUCUCCACUCCCCCGUUCUCCCCUUCCACCCCACCGCCCUCAACCUCAAACCCACCUCUACUCUCCGCAUCUCACCCGUGUCUCCAAAGCAUGGAAGAAGAUGGCGGUGGAUCUGAGAUUGGAAGAAGAUGACAGCAGCAUCCUCAAUCCAAGGAGCCAUUUUGAAGAAGGUAAAAGGUUGUGCUCUGACUUGAUCAAUUGAUGUUGCGGCUAGGAAUGACGAUCAUGGACGGAGCUGAGGCUAGGAACAACGAUCAUGGACAGAGUUACCUUGUUGAGUUGCGUAUUGGGAUCGGUAUGUUGCCGUCGAUUGGAGCUUUUCUGUUCCUUAGAAGAGAUGAUUGUUGCUAACUUUUAGGCUGAAAUAGAGCAAGUGUACUUUUGGGAGUUGAAGAGGAAGAUAUGGCAAUAGAAAAGGAAGAAGGUUUACCUCAUGCUCUAUUCGGUAGCGGCAAUGACCGUGCAAAAUAACUUCACACUUCUCCUUCAGGGAUGGUUAUUCGAGAAGGAGGACAUAGACAAGAUGUUGACGGCAGCCUUUCCAUUCGUCGUGCUUGAAUUGCAAUGCUGUCUUCUCGAAAAACAGCUAAGUCGCUUCUGGAAAGAGUAAUAGGGGUCUCGUCUAUACUUAGUCAUCUCAACUUUGCCUGUGGUUACUGUGAUCAGUCUCCUUGAGGGCGACUUAAUGGUUUCAUGAAACAUGGUAACAGAUUAUGAUGGUGGAUGUGGUUUGGAUUCACACUGUGUGCCUCUCUUUCGUGUGUUUGAAACAAGCUUGGCUUGUGUGGAACAAAAGAACCUGGUUUUUCUUUAUCUUCAUCCUAGAUUUAAUCAGUCUGGACAACUUUGGUACAUUUACUCUAGUACUGCUCUUGUUAAAUGAAGCUUAUGCGUAAACUGAAUUUGUUGUGUGGGGUUAGCCGAGAUUUCCUUUGUAAAUUGUGCUUUUGUUGUUAGAUAGAAUGCUUUUGCAGGUAGAGAAAUGGGAAUUUGCGCCUUUGACAGGAACUUGGUUUUUUGAGUAAAUUAGUCUUGUUGUCCUCCAGGCAAUGAGUAAUUUAUCUUUUAAUUUUGAUUUGGUUGUGAUUGCAGAUGUGCUUGCAUUUUAAUACCUGUAUGCAUUGGGUCAUUAACGUUGUAAUGGAUUGAGCCCAACUGUUUUGUGAAGCCACAUGAGGUUUGGUUUCUUGGACAUUUGGAUUAACACAACUUUUUUGUGUGUGAGCCUGCUUAAAAAUCUAAUCCAUGAAAACCCUGAUUCCAAGCAAUUUGGAGACCCAUACGAAUUGCUUUGAGUUCGGCGACAAGGCUGGUUGUGUCGCCCACGUGCUGAUUGUAUCCAAGUAUCCAACGCCCAUAAGAAUCCCAAAAAACCCCUCCGAUACCAGCUCUACCUGCUUGAGAAUUUGCGCUUCUAUAACUCAUAGUUCCACUGAAGUCUACAAGGUUCUCCGAUGGUUCAAUAUAGGAGUCAAUUAAACAAGGUUCUCUGAUGGUUCAACAGUCAUAUUUUGGCCCAACUAAAACUGACCAUUGGAUUUGCCACAAUUCUGAAAUCUUCAUUGCUCUGUUUUUCUGUACAGUGUACACCAAUUAUCAAACCAUACUUGUUCUUGAAUGAUGUAGAAGAUUUGGCAAUGCCAAACCUUAUAUGUUGGCAGGAGGUGUUGAGUCUAUUGACCAUUGGAGAUGUUAACAAAUGAGACCAAGUCUCAUAUUUUGGCAUUGUUAUAUUUUUGGCAGUUGUAACUGUAACAGUUAUGUUCUGUUCAUUGGGCAUGAUGGCUUUUCACGUAUUCCCGAAUUCUUUAUGAGUUGCAAUUGUGAAUCUGAAUUUCGGGUUCAAUAGGAAACCAGAUCUAGGUUUGGGUCCAUGUGACUGCAUAUUUUGCUUACAAUGGAGAUCCUCUAAUGGUCUUUGUAAUCAAUUGCUUAUAGAACAGCUACCAA